UGGGGAAUAUUGGACAAUGGGCGCAAGCCUGAUCCAGCAAUGCCGCGUGGGUGAAGAAGGCCUGCGGGUUGUAAAGCCCUUUUAGUGAGAAAGAAGGUUCAAGCGAUAAUACCGUUUGGAAUUGACGUUACUCACAGAAAAAGCACCGGCUAACUCCGUGCCAGCAGCCGCGGUAAUACGGGGGGUGCAAGCGUUAAUCGGAAUUACUGGGCGUAAAGCGUGCGUAGGCGGUUUGGUCAGUCAGCCGUGAAAUCCCUGGGCUUAACCUGGGAAUGGCGGUUGAGACGGCCAGACUAGAGGGGGCUAGAGGAUCGUGGAAUUCCUGGUGUAGCGGUGAAAUGCGUAGAGAUCAGGAAGAACACCGAUGGCGAAGGCAGCGGUCUGGGGCCUUACUGACGCU
RNAcentral lists this ribosomal RNA (400 nucleotides) under uncultured bacterium. Its description in RNAcentral is "bacterial SSU rRNA". It matches the Rfam family "Bacterial small subunit ribosomal RNA", at positions 355 to 747 of the family's 1533-position model. The record is from RNAcentral.